This 250-nucleotide ribosomal RNA is filed under the name uncultured bacterium. Its description in RNAcentral is "partial 16S ribosomal RNA". It matches the Rfam family "Bacterial small subunit ribosomal RNA", at positions 779 to 1031 of the family's 1533-position model. The record is from RNAcentral.
UAGAUACCCUGGUAGUCCUGGCCGUAAACGAUGAAUGCUAGGUGUAGGAGGUAUCGACCCCUCCUGUGCCGGAGUUAACGCAAUAAGCAUUCCGCCUGGGGAGUACGGUCGCAAGACUGAAACUCAAAGGAAUUGACGGGGGCCCGCACAAGCGGUGGAGUAUGUGGUUUAAUUCGACGCAACGCGAAGAACCUUACCAGGGCUUGACAUUGAGUGAAAGAGCUAGAGAUAGCUUCCUCUCGGGACACGG